RNAcentral lists this ribosomal RNA (440 nucleotides) under uncultured bacterium. RNAcentral describes it as "partial 16S ribosomal RNA". It matches the Rfam family "Bacterial small subunit ribosomal RNA", at positions 339 to 795 of the family's 1533-position model. The record is from RNAcentral.
CUACGGGACGCUGCAGUGGGGAAUAUUGCACAAUGGGGGAAACCCUGAUGCAGCAACGCCGCGUGGAGGAUGACGCAUUUCGGUGUGUAAACUCCUUUUAUUUAGGAGGAAAUUUGACGGUACUAAAUGAAUAAGCACCGGCUAACUCCGUGCCAGCAGCCGCGGUAAUACGGAGGGUGCAAGCGUUACUCGGAAUCACUGGGCGUAAAGGACGCGUAGGCGGUUUGAUAAGUUGGAUGUGAAAUCCUAUGGCUUAACCAUAGAACUGCAUCCAAAACUGUCAGACUAGAGUGAGGGAGAGGUGAAUGGAAUUAGUGGUGUAGGGGUAAAAUCCGUAGAGAUCACUAGGAAUACUCAUAGCGAAGGCGAUUCACCGGAACUUUACUGACGCUGAGGCGUGAAAGCAUGGGGAGCAAACAGGAUUAGAUACCCUCGUAGUC